RNAcentral lists this ribosomal RNA (1183 nucleotides) under uncultured archaeon. Its description in RNAcentral is "bacterial SSU rRNA". It matches the Rfam family "Archaeal small subunit ribosomal RNA", at positions 228 to 1413 of the family's 1478-position model. The record is from RNAcentral.
GUUUGAUGGCGGGGUAAUGGCCCACCAUGCCUGCGAUCCGUACCGGCUAUGGGAGUAGGAGCCGGGAGAUGGAUACUGAGACAAGGAUCCAGGUCCUACGGGACGCAGCAGUCGCGAAAUCUUCGCAAUGUCUGAAAGGAUGACGAGGGGACCCCAAGUGCCAAGGCAAAACCUUGGCUUUUCCUUAGUGUAAACAGCUAGGGGAAUAAGGGCUGGGUAAGACCGGUGCCAGCCUCCGCGGUAACACCGGCAGCUUAAGUGGUGGUCGCGUUUAUUGGGCUUAAAGCGUUCGUAGUCGGUCGCGCCAGUCCUCUGUGAAAUCCUGCCGCUUAACGGUAGGGCUUGCAGAGGAUACUACGCGGCUUGAGGCCGGGAGGGGGAUGGGGUAUUCCAGGGGUACCGGUGAAAUGGUAUAAUCCCUGGAAGACCACCUGUGGCGAAAGCGCCAUCCUGGAACGGGCCUGACGAUGAGGGACGAAAGCUGGGGGAGCAAACCGGAUUAGAUACCCGGGUAGUCCUAGCCGUAAACGAUGCGGACUGAGUAUUGCCGCAGCUUCGAGCUUCGGCAGUGCUGUAGGGAAACUGUCAAGUCCGCCGCCUGGGGAGUAUGGUCGCAAAGGCCUGAAACUUAAAGGAAUUGGCGGGGGAGCACCACAAGGGGUGGAUGCUGCGGUUCAAUUGGAUACAACCCCGGGAAACUUACCAGGGGCGACGGCACCGUGAUGGCCAGGCUAAAGGUCUUGCUGGAGGAGCCGAGAGGUAGUGCAUGGCCGUCGUCAGCUCGUACCGUGAGGCGUACGGUUAAGUCCGUUAACGAGCGAGACCCGUACCCAUAUUUGCCAGACACCUCCACGGAGGUGGAGCACUAUAUGGGGACCGCUGGCGAUGAGUCAGAGGAAGGCGCGGGCGACGGUAGGUCUGUAUGCUCCGAAUCUCCUGGGCUACACGCGGCAUACAAUGGCACAGACAAUGGGUUGCCACCCCGAAAGGGGGAGCUAAUCCCCAAACUGUGUCUCAGUCCGGAUCGAGGGUUGAAACUCACCCUCGUGAAGAUGAAAUCCCUAGUAAUCGCUUUUUACCAAAAAGCGGUGAAUGUGUCCCUGCUCCUUGCACACACCGCCCGUCACGUCAACCGAGUGGAUUGUAGGUGAGGCUGUCUCAUCCUGGGAUGGUCGAAUCUAUG